UGGGGGAUAUUGCACAAUGGGCGAAAGCCUGAUGCAGCGACGCCGCGUGGGGGAUGAAGGCUUUCGGGUUGUAAACCUCUUUCGCUAUCGAACAAGGCCCGCUUAGGGUGGGUUGAGGGUAGGUGGAGAAGAAGCGCCGGCUAACUACGUGCCAGCAGCCGCGGUAAUACGUAGGGCGCGAGCGUUGUCCGGAAUUAUUGGGCGUAAAGGGCUUGUAGGCGGCUUGUUGCGCCUGCUGUGAAAACGCGGGGCUUAACUUCGCGCGUGCAGUGGGUACGGGCAGGCGGGAGUGUGGUAGGGGUGACUGGAAUUCCAGGUGUAGCGGUGGAAUGCGCAGAUAUCUGGAGGAACACCGAUGGCGAAGGCAGGUCACUGGGCCAUUACUGACGCUGAGGAGCGAAAGCAUGGGUAGCGAACAGG
Molecule: ribosomal RNA, 420 nt
Filed under: bacterium
Lineage: Bacteria
Description: partial 16S ribosomal RNA
Rfam family: Bacterial small subunit ribosomal RNA
Source: RNAcentral